CUGUGUUGUGUAUGUUACUUGCCAGUAACAUCAACUCUGUUCACAUCAUUCAUUGCUACCAAGUGAUUUGUGGUUAUACCAAAUAUGCAUUUUUCUUUGUACUACAUUUGUUCAAAUAUCAUUUAUGUCCUCUUAUAAGAUGCUACAGUUUUAUUUUUAUAGGUCUCAUGCUUGUAUUAUGUUACUAAUGUUAUCAUCAUCAGAACAAAUACUUUUCAACCAAGCUUCCCUUUCCGUGGGAUUCCAUACAGAGUUCAUCUGAUUUGCUAUACUCAGAUGUUUUGCAGCAUUCCUGGCCUCUCCCUACUAGAGGACUGUAGCGACCACCCUCCAGUUAUGACAACUGAAAAUACCUCAGGACAUUACUGAACAGCCCCUGGGAGGCAAAAGUACCUCCAGUUGAGGACCACUGAAACUGCAAAGAGCAGUAAAUGCAGAAAAGAUAAAACGAAGAGUCCUUACCAUCAGGUAAAAUGUUGUAUGAAGAGUUUUUCUGAAGAUAUAAUUUACAUAAAUUUAAGCAAUAUAGACAACAUAUGUAUGAAGUAGACAUCGAAUAAAAUUUUCAUUCUAAAUUUAGUCAUUAUCUUAAUUUUUGGCAAACUGCUGUGUACUUUUGCUGGUGUCCAAAAUAAAAUAAAAUUUCA
Long non-coding RNA from Lemur catta (Ring-tailed lemur), 647 nucleotides. RefSeq lists it as uncharacterized. The transcript has 3 exons. Lineage: Eukaryota; Metazoa; Chordata; Mammalia; Primates; Lemuridae. The record is from RefSeq and is a predicted model, not a curated record.